UAUGGUCACAUCACAUUGAAACACCUGUUCCUGUACGAUCACCAAAGUUAACAAACAUCAAGCCUUGUCAGUACCUAGAUAGGUGACUGCUUGGGAAUACCAGGUGCUGUAAG
This is a non-coding RNA of Acanthosepion pharaonis, 113 nucleotides long. Lineage: Eukaryota; Metazoa; Mollusca; Cephalopoda; Sepiida; Sepiidae. The record is from the annotation of a GenBank genome assembly.